GCAGUAGCCGCGGGAAUACAGAGGGUGCGAGCGUUAAUCGGAUUUACUGGGCGUAAAGCGUGCGUAGGCGGCUUUUUAAGUCGGAUGUGAAAUCCCUGAGCUUAACUUAGGAAUUGCAUUCGAUACUGGGAAGCUAGAGUAUGGGAGAGGAUGGUAGAAUUCCAGGUGUAGCGGUGAAAUGCGUAGAGAUCUGGAGGAAUACCGAUGGCGAAGGCAGCCAUCUGGCCUAAUACUGACGCUGAGGUACGAAAGCAUGGGGAGCAAACAGGAUUAGAUACCCCUGUAGUCCCUGUCUCUUAUAU
RNAcentral lists this ribosomal RNA (302 nucleotides) under uncultured bacterium. RNAcentral describes it as "partial 16S ribosomal RNA". It matches the Rfam family "Bacterial small subunit ribosomal RNA", at positions 508 to 809 of the family's 1533-position model. The record is from RNAcentral.